This 593-nucleotide ribosomal RNA is filed under the name uncultured archaeon. RNAcentral describes it as "bacterial SSU rRNA". It matches the Rfam family "Archaeal small subunit ribosomal RNA", at positions 329 to 922 of the family's 1478-position model. The record is from RNAcentral.
GGCGCACCAGGCGCGAAACCUCCGCAAUGCGGGAAACCGCGACGGGGUCAGCCGGAGUGCCGGUGCAUUGCACCGGCUGUCGGGGAGCCUAAACAGCUCCCCAUAGCAAGGGCCGGGCAAGGCCGGUGGCAGCCGCCGCGGUAAUACCGGCGGCCCGAGUGGCGGCCACUAUUAUUGGGCCUAAAGCGUCCGUAGCCGGGCUGGUAAGUCCUCCGGGAAAUCUGGUCGCUUAACGAUCAGACUUCCGGAGGAUACUGCCAGCCUAGGGACCGGGAGAGGCCGGGGGUAUUCCCGGGGUAGGGGUGAAAUCCUGUAAUCCCGGGAGGACCACCUGUGGCGAAGGCGCCCGGCUGGAACGGGUCCGACGGUGAGGGACGAAGGCCAGGGGAGCGAACCGGAUUAGAUACCCGGGUAGUCCUGGCUGUAAAGGAUGCGGGCUAGGUGUCGGGUGAGCUUCGGGCUCGCCCGGUGCCGUAGGGAAGCCGUUAAGCCCGCCGCCUGGGGAGUACGGCCGCAAGGCUGAAACUUAAAGGAAUUGGCGGGGGAGCACUACAACGGGUGGAGCCUGCGGUUUAAUUGGAUUCAACGCCGGG